This 686-nucleotide ribosomal RNA is filed under the name uncultured Curvibacter sp. RNAcentral's name for it is "bacterial SSU rRNA". It matches the Rfam family "Bacterial small subunit ribosomal RNA", at positions 97 to 779 of the family's 1533-position model. Lineage: Bacteria; Pseudomonadati; Pseudomonadota; Betaproteobacteria; Burkholderiales; Comamonadaceae. The record is from RNAcentral.
GGCGAACGGGUGAGUAAUGUAUCGGAACGUGCCCAGUCGUGGGGGAUAACGUAGUGAAAAUUACGCUAAUACCGCAUACGAUCUAUGGAUGAAAGCGGGGGAUCGCAAGACCUCGCGCGAUUGGAGCGGCCGAUAUCAGAUUAGGUAGUUGGUGGGGUAAAGGCCCACCAAGCCAACGAUCUGUAGCUGGUCUGAGAGGACGACCAGCCACACUGGAACUGAGACACGGUCCAGACUCCUACGGGAGGCAGCAGUGGGGAAUUUUGGACAAUGGGCGCAAGCCUGAUCCAGCCAUUCCGCGUGCAGGAUGAAGGCCCUCGGGUUGUAAACUGCUUUUGUACAGAACGAAAAGGUUUCUACUAAUACUAGGAGCUCAUGACGGUACUGUAAGAAUAAGCACCGGCUAACUACGUGCCAGCAGCCGCGGUAAUACGUAGGGUGCAAGCGUUAAUCGGAAUUACUGGGCGUAAAGCGUGCGCAGGCGGUUAUAUAAGUCAGAUGUGAAAUCCCCGGGCUCAACCUGGGAACUGCAUUUGAGACUGUAUAGCUAGAGUACGGCAGAGGGGGAUGGAAUUCCGCGUGUAGCAGUGAAAUGCGUAGAUAUGCGGAGGAACACCGAUGGCGAAGGCAAUCCCCUGGGCCUGUACUGACGCUCAUGCACGAAAGCGUGGGGAGCAAACAGGAUU